UACAUCUGAAACAGGAUGAAU
This 21-nucleotide non-coding RNA is filed under the name Caenorhabditis elegans. The record is from RNAcentral. Lineage: Eukaryota; Metazoa; Nematoda; Chromadorea; Rhabditida; Rhabditidae.